Leguminivora glycinivorella is the source of this 792-nucleotide long non-coding RNA. RefSeq lists it as uncharacterized. The record is from RefSeq and is a predicted model, not a curated record. The transcript is spliced from 2 exons. NCBI's taxonomy places the organism in Eukaryota, Metazoa, Arthropoda, Insecta, Lepidoptera, Tortricidae.
CUGUAACAAUAUUUUUUCAAACCUCGUAGGUAUAUUUUUAUUUAGCUGAUAUUAUACUCAAGUAACUAUUGGUUUCGUACAGGCAGAGCCAUCUAUCGGCAGGAUUGUAUUGAUAACCCAGUUUGCUGUUAGCUAGAAUGACAAAAGAUGGCGUGUCGAUCGUCGUUAAUUUAUUUCCUUCCAAAAUCCCUUUUGAAUUUUCAUUUAUUAAAAAUAAAACUCAAUUUAUUAUUGUAUUGUUAGUUUUCGUUCCUUUUUGGAAAUAUUUUAUUACCCUCUUUAAGACAGAAGUUAAAGUUGUUGUCUAUAGGCGAAUGCAUCUCGUCACGUAUCUGUGGGCCGAGCUGUCAGCCGACACUUUGCAUAUUGGGAAGGAUGUAGACGGGUGGUUUUCAAAUUCUUCAGGGCCAAUGCGCCACAUUCUAAUUUUUAAAUCGCGAAUUAAUCGCAUAAUCGUAAGUAUUUUCUUCCAUAUUCGAAUGCAGUUUGUUGUGUUACGUUCAGUGCUAAUUCUUGUGUCCAUUAUUUUCAGAUGAUUUUAUUUUUAUAAAAUUACUGAGGACCCCUUCCAUUGACAUGAUUGCACGGAACCACAAGCCGGCUUCUUUUCUGGAAUGGGUCCUCAGAUUUGGAGGUUAACGUUCGAAGACAGAGCAGAGCUGAUGCUUCCCGAGCCUGGACCGGUGGACAGGAGGCUGUGACGAUCGGUAUGGAAGAGCUCCCAUUCCGUGGCUGCAGCGGCCACCUCUCCUCAACUCGGUUAGACGUCCCCAAGGUCAGAGCGUUCCUCGU